UACGGAGGGUGCGAGCGUUGUCCGGAAUCACUGGGCGUAAAGGGCGCGUAGGCGGCCUGGUAAGUAGGGGGUGAAAUCCUGCGGCUUAACCGCAGGGCUGCCUUCUAAACUGUCAGGCUCGAGCACGGUAGAGGCAGAUGGAAUUCCCGGUGUAGCGGUGGAAUGCGUAGAGAUCGGGAAGAACAUCAGUGGCGAAGGCGGGCUGCUGGGCCGUUGCUGACGCUGAGGCGCGACAGCGUGGGGAGCAAACAGG
RNAcentral lists this ribosomal RNA (253 nucleotides) under uncultured bacterium. Its description in RNAcentral is "partial 16S ribosomal RNA". It matches the Rfam family "Bacterial small subunit ribosomal RNA", at positions 524 to 776 of the family's 1533-position model. The record is from RNAcentral.